GGGGGAGUUAUAAGAUCUGCUAAAUCUUUAAUCUGAAAAUAACUACCAGCUCCC
Molecule: transfer RNA, 54 nt
Filed under: Toxicodryas pulverulenta (Fischer's cat snake)
Lineage: Eukaryota; Metazoa; Chordata; Lepidosauria; Squamata; Colubridae
Description: tRNA-Ser
Source: RNAcentral